CGGUCCUUCACCUUUCGGGGUGAAGGAUAGUGGCAAAUGGGUGAGUAACGCGUAAGUAACCUGCCCUUAAGUAGGGGAUAACUCUGAGAAAUUGGAGCUAAUACCUUAUGUGGUGAUGGAGGUAAUGCUUCAUCACUAAAGCCUUAGGGUGCUUGAGGAUGGGCUUGCGUCCGAUUAGCUAGUUGGUAGGGUAAUGGCUUACCAAGGCAAUGAUCGGUAGCUGGUUUGAGAGGAUGGUCAGCCACACUGGGAUUGAGAUACGGCCCAGACUCCUACGGGAGGCAGCAGCAAGGAAUAUUGUGCAAUGGGCGAAAGCCUGACACAGCGACGUCGCGUGGGGGAUGAAGGCUUUCGGGUCGUAAACCCCUUUUCUCAGGGAAGAAUAAUGACGGUACCUGGGGAAUAAGUCACGGCUAACUACGUGCCAGCAGCCGCGGUAAUACGUAGGUGGCAAGCGUUAUCCGGAUUUACUGGGUGUAAAGGGGGUGCAGGCGGCUUUUCAAGUCGGAUAUAAAAUCUCCCGGCUUAACUGGGAGGGACUAUUCGAUACUGUUGGGCUAGAGGGCAGCAGGGGGAGGUGGAAUUCCCGGUGUAGUGGUGAAAUGCGUAGAUAUCGGGAGGAACACCAGUGGCGAAGGCGGCCUCCUGGGCUGUUGCUGACGCUGAGGCCCGAAGGCGUGGGGAGCAAACAGGAUUAGAUACCCUGGUAGUCCACGCUAUAAACUAUGGACACUAGGUAUAGGGAGUAUCGAACCUCUUUGUGCCGAAGCUAACGCUUUAAGUGUCCCACCUGGGGAGUACGGCCGCAAGGCU
RNAcentral lists this ribosomal RNA (813 nucleotides) under uncultured bacterium. Its description in RNAcentral is "bacterial SSU rRNA". It matches the Rfam family "Bacterial small subunit ribosomal RNA", at positions 67 to 895 of the family's 1533-position model. The record is from RNAcentral.